CCAAAGAACUUGGGGUACAAAUUCUGGCCAACAACAUUUAGCCUUGUCCAAGCUAGUUUUCAAAGUUCGCUUGAUUAUGUUGUUGAUGGCUUCAACUUGUCCAUUAGACUGGGGAUGAGCUGGGGAGGCAAAACAUAAGUUAAUGUUGAACUUAGAGCAGAACAUCCUGAACUUAUUGUUGUCGAACUGUCGCCCGUUGUUAAUGACUAUCGCAUUGCAUAACGAACCUUGCUCUUCCCCGCAAGCAUUGGGCCGAUCAAAUCAAGUCCCCAUUGGGCGAAGGGCCAAGGGCUGAUCAUAUGAGUGAGCGGCUUGGGAUGAGAGUAAGGAAUAGUUACGUAGCGUUGACACUUAUCACAUGAGCGGGAUAUCCUGAUGACAUCUUGGUGGAAUGUUGGUGAGUAAUAUCUUUGGUGAAAAGCCUUGUGUGCUAGGGAUCGAGAUCCAGCAUGAUCUCCGCAGACUCCUUCAUGUAUUU
Molecule: long non-coding RNA, 478 nt
Filed under: Malus domestica (apple)
Lineage: Eukaryota; Viridiplantae; Streptophyta; Magnoliopsida; Rosales; Rosaceae
Description: long non-coding RNA (MDOM_LNC021015)
Source: RNAcentral